This is a non-coding RNA of Acanthosepion pharaonis, 115 nucleotides long. NCBI's taxonomy places the organism in Eukaryota, Metazoa, Mollusca, Cephalopoda, Sepiida, Sepiidae. The record is from the annotation of a GenBank genome assembly.
UUACGGCCAUAUCACGUUGAAAUACCGGUCAUCGUUCGAUCACCGAAGUUAAGCCACGUCGAUCGUAGUCAGUCCUUAGGUAGGUGAUUUCGCUUGGGAAUACCUGGUUCUGUAA